AGAGUUUGAUCAUGGCUCAGAAUGAACGCUGGCGGCGUGCUUAACACAUGCAAGUCGCACGAGAACGCUUCAGCUUGCUGGAGCUAGUAAAGUGGCGCACGGGUGAGUAACGCGUGGGUAAUCUACCUCCGAAUUGGGGAUAACACUGCGAAAGCGGUGCUAAUACCGAAUGAUAUUUCCGGAGCUUUGGCUUCGGGGAUCAAAGGUGGCCUCUACAUGUAAGCUACCGUUUGGAGAUGAGCCCGCGUACCAUUAGCUAGUUGGUAGGGUAAUGGCCUACCAAGGCUGCGAUGGUUAGCUGGUCUGAGAGGAUGAUCAGCCACACUGGAACUGACACACGGUCCAGACUCCUACGGGAGGCAGCAGUGAGGAAUUUUGCGCAAUGGGGGAAACCCUGACGCAGCAACGCCGCGUGAGUGAUGAAGGCUUUCGGGUCGUAAAGCUCUGUCAAGUGGGAAGAAUAUGCCCUGUGAUAAUACCAUGGGGCACUGACGGUACCACUGAAGGAAGCACCGGCUAACUCCGUGCCAGCAGCCGCGGUAAUACAGGGGGUGCAAGCGUUAUUCGGAAUCAUUGGGCGUAAAGGGCGCGUAGGCGGCCCCUUAAGUCAGAUGUGAAAGCCCUCAGCUUAACUGAGGAAGUGCAUUUGAAACUAAGGGGCUUGAGUAUGGGAGAGGGAAGCGGAAUUCCUGGUGUAGCGGUGAAAUGCGUAGAUAUCAGGAGGAACACCGGUGGCGAAGGCGGCUUCCUGGACCAAUACUGAGCUGAGGCGCGAAGGCGUGGGGAGCAAACAGGAUUAGAUACCCUAGUAGUCC
RNAcentral lists this ribosomal RNA (815 nucleotides) under uncultured bacterium. RNAcentral describes it as "bacterial SSU rRNA". It matches the Rfam family "Bacterial small subunit ribosomal RNA", at positions 8 to 796 of the family's 1533-position model. The record is from RNAcentral.